CAAAAGCAAUACUUGGAAUGCUGGGGAAAGUUGCUGGCCGUUUUAGAAACAAUAGAAGAUUUUGAAAGACCAGAAGUCCUGUGAUAAAGAGGGCCAGAACAGUCACUGCUGUGCUGGACUCAGCUGACCAGACAUAAUAUGCAGCCUUUCAGAUGAUACUAAAAUGAUAUCACAGAAAUAACAAGAAAAACCUGAGAGUACAAUUGCCAAAGCAUACCGGCUACUGAGGAAGAGCACAAGUUACUACCUCUGGAAUUGAAACAAACAAACAAACAAAAAACAAUAACAAAAAAGUACUACUCUUCAUUUCCUGAUUUUAACGGUAUGAUGUCCCAGGUUCAGAUUUCAUGCAAAUACUAUUGGAGAGGAAAACUUUUUGAAAAUUAGGCUGCGUUACACUCUUUGCAAUCCAGAAUGUCAUUUCCCAAUAAGUGGGAGGUGAGGAAGGGUAUGGAUUGAGCCACAGAAGGCAUGGAAAUACGUGAAACACCUAAAAGAGACACCUAGUCAAAACCCUUUCCAUCAGCAUCAAACACCAUCAGCUCUACUGGAAACAGACAUUGUCUGAAGGAGUUAGAGUGACACGGGAUGGAAGCCUGUUCUGUUCUUUAUUUUAUAAAGUCUUACAAAACCUCUGAUAACUGAAAUGGGGAAUCUCUGCAAGUCCAUUGUGAAACUGCAUAAAUUUAGAACUUAACGAGUUGUAAUUAGUGGCAUUGUAAUGAUCUCCGUAUGUUAGUAAGUUGUUUAGUAAGAAAUGCAGUUGUUUGCCGUUCUGCGCUGUACUAUGACAAAUUAAAAUUCAAACCAUACAAGCGUCUGUCUUUCGUAGAUCUCUCAUACGUUUGUCAAGAAUGUACUAAUAUAAAAAGAUGUGCAAAGCAGGAUGCACAGAACUGUUCUAUCUUGUUUCCAUGUUGCCUCUUUGUAUGCGAGAGAAUCAAGUACAUGCAUGCCUGGU
Molecule: long non-coding RNA, 961 nt
Organism: Meleagris gallopavo (turkey)
Lineage: Eukaryota; Metazoa; Chordata; Aves; Galliformes; Phasianidae
Source: RefSeq, a predicted model, not a curated record